RNAcentral lists this ribosomal RNA (119 nucleotides) under Helianthus annuus (common sunflower). Lineage: Eukaryota; Viridiplantae; Streptophyta; Magnoliopsida; Asterales; Asteraceae. The record is from RNAcentral.
GGUUGCGAUCAUACCAGCACUGAUGCACCGGAUCCCAUCAGAACUCCGCAGUUAAGCGUGCUUGGGCGAGAGUAGUACUAGGAUGGGUGACCCCCUGGGAAGUCCUCGUGUUGCAACCC